RNAcentral lists this ribosomal RNA (429 nucleotides) under Acidobacteriota bacterium. Its description in RNAcentral is "Acidobacteria bacterium partial 16S ribosomal RNA". It matches the Rfam family "Bacterial small subunit ribosomal RNA", at positions 355 to 776 of the family's 1533-position model. Lineage: Bacteria; Pseudomonadati; Acidobacteriota. The record is from RNAcentral.
UGGGGAAUUUUGGACAAUGGGGGAAACCCUGAUCCAGCCAUCCCGCGUGUGCGAUGAAGGCCUUCGGGUUGUAAAGCACUUUUGGCAGGAAAGAAACGUCAUGGGUUAAUACCCCGUGAAACUGACGGUACCUGCAGAAUAAGCACCGGCUAACUACGUGCCAGCAGCCGCGGUAAUACGUAGGGUGCAAGCGUUAAUCGGAAUUACUGGGCGUAAAGCGUGCGCAGGCGGUUCGGAAAGAAAGAUGUGAAAUCCCAGAGCUCAACUUUGGAACUGCAUUUUUAACUACCGGGCUAGAGUGUGUCAGAGGGAGGUGGAAUUCCGCGUGUAGCAGAGAAAUGCGUAGAUAUGCGGAGGAACACCGAUGGCGAAGGCAGACUCCUGGGAUAACACUGACGCUCAUGCACGAAAGCGUGGGGAGCAAACAGG